This is an RNA transcript of Mirounga angustirostris (Northern elephant seal), 8224 nucleotides long. It is a transcript of the gene named teashirt zinc finger homeobox 3, with no coding region annotated. The transcript has 7 exons. Lineage: Eukaryota; Metazoa; Chordata; Mammalia; Carnivora; Phocidae. The record is from RefSeq and is a predicted model, not a curated record.
UCUCCCCGCCCCCCGGCCCCGAACCCCGCGCACCUCGUCUGGGGACGGGGCGGGGGGGGGGCAGGGCCGCCGUUCCUCCCCGCCCCCUCCUCCUCGGGCCUCUGGAGCGAUUUGUCAAACUUCCCAUUCCGCCGGCAGCGCGAUCCUCCUCCUCCUCCUCCUCCUCCUCCACCACCUCCUCCUCCUCUGCCUCCUCCUCCCCCCCGCGCUCCUCCCUCCCCGCGCCUCCCUCGCCCGCCCUCCUUCUUCCCUCCGCACGUUCGGGGAUCGCGGCGGAGCGCGGAGAGGGGGGGACGCGGAGAGCCGGGGCGCAGCAGCAUCCUGCGGGCGGCCGCUCUCCGGGGGGGAGGCUGAGAGCCGGCCCGCCUCGCCCCCCCCGCGGGCCCGCCGCCCCUCCCUCCCUCUCCUCAGCCCGGCAGCGGCGGCGGCGGCGGCGGCGGCAGUGGCAGUCGCCGGAGGAGCAUCAUGCCGAGGAGGAAGCAGCAGGCGCCCCGGCGCGCAGCAGGGAUUUAUUAGUAAGCACGUGUAAUCUUUGGCAAAAGGAAACCUGAAAAUGCAUUUCCCGUGGGACCCCGUGCCAGUCGAUGCCUUUCAGCCUGCAGCUGACCUCCGGAGCCACGGAAAAGGAUUCCAGGGACACAUUUACGACCGUCAUAAUUAUGAGUUAGAGAUCUCCCAGGCCAAGUGAAAUGAAAUUACGAGAAACUGAAAUCUGUUUUAAUUGGAGCAUUUAUGGAAAAAAGAAGUCAGACUGGCUGCCUUUUUCCUUUAUGUGGCUCCCCGGUUCAGGACGAUACCUGGGUCCGGAAGCCAGGGCCGGCCAAACGGCGACAGAGCGGGGAGGAAGAGAGAGAGAGAAGAGAGAGAAUGAGGGAGAGACAGCCCUGCCCCUCCACGGCCACCCUGCAGGCUGUGCUUCACCGGCACUUCCUCCUCUUUCCCAGGAAACACUUCGGACUUACCGUUCCCCCGCGCUCCGACGCCGUUGCCUCUCGGAGCCUCCUUGGAGAAGGCAAGCUUGACUUCUGGGCUCAGAAGAUGCUCUCUUGGAUGUCAGACAGAUGUUGGGUGGCUGGCGGAGGGCAUGCACUUCUGGCCACUUCGUGACAGCCUGCACACCGCCCCCCCCCCCCCCAGGCAGUGCCAAGGCUGGGGGAGUCCUGGCACACGGAAAGCACCCACUAAACAUUUGCUUAAUUAAUGAAAAAAUGCAUGGGCUGAAUUGAUUCCCCAGCUCACUGUCUCCUCAGUGGGGGCUCUCACAGCCAGCCUCUCAAAAGGCCAUUCCUUCCCUGGAGCAAUGUACUCCUUUGUUCUAAGAGCUGUGUUUUCCAGGUGAGCGCCACACCCCUCACAGCAAAAUAGACAGCGGGUCCGCAUUCUCACCCAGCACGGUGCCUGGUCCACAGGAGAGGCUCCGCAAAUGUGUGUUCUCCCUCUUUUAAUGAGACAGAGGCUCAUUUUCCUCCUGGAAGAAGGGCUACCUGGAAAUGAAUGCACGUUUCUACAAACUGCCGCACUGGGCUGCCCGGAGAUGAACACGUGCUGGGAGGAUGCACCCAGAGGCCAGCUAGGUGCUGAGGCUGAGUUCUGAGCUUCGGGUUCGGCCACAGACUCCUAAUGCAGACCUACCCACGGAUGGGGAGGGGGCAGCCAAUGGCUGGACCUUUAUGUAGUGUCGUCUGACUGCCUGUCCGUAGUUGACGUCCAAGAGAAACCAUUGCAAGAGAUGAAUCGGACGUGGACGAGGCUGCCUCCGAGUGAUGCCGCCUCAAUGCCCCUGGGGCACCCCCAGGCACAAUCACUCACUCCUGAGGCCCCCAGGGCAAACAUCUGUCGCUACUCUGUGUUGCAAUCUGCUUACAGGUGUUGGGGCUGGACCCAGGCACCGCCCUCAGAUGCAGCAAUCUGCCCCUGGAUUCCUAAGGAGAAGGAACUCCCCGUGCACCAGAGGAAGGACACAGAGUUCCUCUGCCACCAUUCCCGUCGGAGGGUGCGCUGACACCCCGGACGCCGGGAGCUCGUGGGUGACUGAGGCCCCGGCUCAGACCGCACAGCACCAUGAGGGAGCGGCGGUGGUGACAGGUGCUGUGGUGGGUGAUGUGAGUGGCAAGUGUGGACACGUCAGCCCCGUGGUCCUGCCAUGCCUCCAAGAAAGGGCACAGCUCUCUGCAGUGGGGGCAGUGACUUGCAAAUAGGCCCAGACGUGACCUCAGGGGAGACACGAGUCCCCCAGGCCAGCAGCGAACUUGUUCUGGAGACACCACGUUUCUGCAGCAUGAAAGCCCCAGGCCCUGCCUCAGGAGAGGAAACCCAGACUUUCCCUCGUUAGGAGACAAUUGGGCCAACACCCAUCUCCCCCCAUUGGAAGCUCCCUCGGCCCCUCCUGCUGAGCCACCUGCCCUGUGCCCUCCUAAUCCAGGUGUGGCCCACCAUGACUGCUGGCUCUUAGACUCCAUAGUCCUUCCUGGCAGACUCAAAUUUAAGCUGCCCUCCUGCCUGGAGGGACCCCCGUCCCCCACUGGCUCUCUGGCAGGAGUAAGCAGAUUCAAGUGUGCCUUUUGGAGAACUCUUGCCUCCAGCAGUCCUGGGAGGUGGGCCAGCCUCUUUGACCAAGGCUGCACGGAACGGGUCAGAGCCCAGGCAGGUGACUUAGCCCCCGUGUGUCACACGGCAACAUGGGGCAACAGCUAGAACUUGAAGGCUACUCCUCCCAAAUACGAGAAAGCAGAGAGCCGAGACAGCCUGGGAAUCACCCGCCUUGCUGAGCAGUAUCUGUUUACAAAGACAGGAGCUCAGAAAUGCUUCCAUUGUGGAGAAACAAAGCCUCGGAAAUACAAAAUAGAAGGCCAGCCCUCGGCCACUCUGGGAGGGAGCGAGCCUCCCCGGGGAUUGGCACUGAGCGGCCCCGCCGGCUCUGUUCCCAGCGUAUCAUGGUUUCACUGCACCUGUUGGCAUAGCUUUGUGGUGAUUCACUCCUGCCUCCUCCUCAGGCCUCGUUGUGUCCUGGCCGGAGGGGAGCGCACCCUUGAGCACGGGGCCCUGGAGCCAAGCACACCCCCCAAGCAGGCAUGGCCUUGCAGCCCUCUGUUGGUCCUCACGGGUCUCCUGGUGGGUGACUCAGUCUCCCAGUCAAGAUCCACCAGCUGCCCAGGACCUGCCUGGCAAAGUCCCCAAACCCCUACAGGAGAAUUAGCGAGGGGGCCACCUCCUGAGCCCCCUUGUGCUACGGAUUGGGGGUCUAGGAGUGGCAUUCAGAGAAGGGCAGGGGCUCCCUCUGCUUCAGUCACCUCCGGCUGUCCCCUCUGAGCCUCCAGGUCCUGUGCAGCCGAACAGAUGAAUUGCCUGCAAAUCUGGGUAAUUUUGUGAUUACGCUGGUAAGCUCUCUUGCCAUCCUUGCUGGGAAAUAUCGAUGCUUGGCAGAAAUAGAAAGUUAAAACCCCUCUCCACCCCCAUUUCUUCCCAGCGGGGGCCGCAGCUCGAAGGCAGAUUGGUGAGCUGCCAGGCCCUUGCACACACUUGUGGAUCUAGAGUGCAUCAUCACACUAUGCUUAUGUGUGCACGAGGCCACUUGCUUGGACUCUCGUUUCGUGUAAGGGUGUGAUCACUUGGCCCGUGUUGAUGAUUCACCUUCUCAGGGCCUCACCCCUUAAGCCCUGCAGAGAAGCAUGGAGUUUGGGGGCAUCUUUGAGCAUUCAGCCAUUCCUCCACAGAGGACAUUCCUGCAGUUUUCCUUUCUUUUAUUCCUCUCCUCCCUUUCUCCCUGCCUGCUCUCUCACUGGCUCUCCCCAUCCUGCCACCCCGCCCCCCGCCGCCCCGCAAUUACGAGCAGCACCCCAGCAAACAUCCUUGGACACGUAUCUCUGCACCGGCCUGCUCUUCUUCCUGCAGGACACUUCCCUGACGGGGGCUGAGCUGGAACAAAGGGACAUGCAUUUGAAGUGUUGAUGCACUGCCAGGUUGUCCUCCAAAAGUGCAUGUGUGUUUUGUAAACCUCAGCUGUUAUAUCCCAUCCGCGUAUGUUGCCAGUCUGAUGGAGGCAGCCCACGAAUGAUAGCGAAGCCUCUCUAGUGGCCAUACUUCUCCCCGCCCCUGGGGAACUCCUUGUGCUGGGACCUGUAGGGGGACCCCUGCCUCUCAUGAACGUCCUUACCCCGAGUUUGCAAACGACAUUUAAGGAUUGCUUCUGUUCAACUAAACAAGUAAACAUGUAAAGUGCACUAGGACUCUGUGAAGAUCCACCGACUAUAUUUUCACCUACAGGUUUUGUUGUGUGCAGAGAGACUAUAGUAAAUACGGCUAGAAUUGUAACCGCUUGUCUAAUAUACAUUAUGUUGUAGAAUCCCCACCCCAAAGCUGUGAGGCUGAUACAAUGUUGCGCCUGCUUUAUAGAUGAAGACACCGUAGUGUGCUGAAUGGUGGUCCCCAAUGAUAUAUCCACAUCCCAAUCCCUGGCACUUGUAAUUUUUAUUUGGGGAAAAAAGGGUCUCUGCACAUAUAAGUAAGUUGAGGGUCUUGAGAUAAAGGGACCACCCUCCCCAGAUUAUUCUAUGGGCCCUGACUCCAAUGACAAGUGUCCUUGUAAGAGGCACAGAGAGGAGACAGCAGUGUGAAGCCAAAGGCAGAGCUUGGAGUGACGUGCCUACAAGCCCAGGAAAGCCAGCAGCUACCAGAAGCUAGACGGGGCAAGACACAAAUCCUCCCCUAGACCCUCCCGAGAAGGCACGACCCUGCCCACACCUUGCCUUCCUCCGUCUAGUCUCCCGAACUGUGGAAGAUUAGAUUUCUAUUGUUUGAAGGCACCGAGUUUCUGGCAACUUGUGGCCUCUGGAAGCUCAUGCAGACACUGAGGCUUGGAGGCGUCAGAAACCUCUGCAGGCUCCCCAGCAGCACAGCGCCCUACUAUGCGCCCGGUGCCCAGGGGUGUUUCGGGAGGCAGAAGGGGAGUCGCCAGCCUCAAGCGCCGGAGGAAUCCACAGCACUCCAGCCUCCUCCGAGGACCGCGGUGGGCUGUGUCCAGGGCACGCUCUGAACGGAGUGCUGGUGAGAAGCCAUGUGGACGGACUUGAGCUCCAGCGUCAGUGCUGCAGUGGGUGGGAGAGUGCAGUGGGGGGGGGGGGGGGGGCUCCAGAAGGUUCUAGAGCCUGAGGAGCCAGCUGUGCUCAGUGUGUCAGCCCUGCCUCUGUGUCAGCCCCUGCUCACCUGCCCAGCAGGAGUGAGAGCAGGGAGGACUUUGUCUCUCUCAGCACCAUCUGGAACACCUCAUGAGCUAGUCUGGAGGGCCAAAGACGUGUCCCCUGGAGAGGUGCCAAGGACCUGGCACUCAUGUCUCAGGGGGAGAGGGCAGAAUGAGGAGCAGUUCUGGAAGUAGAAGGACCACUUCUCUUGCUUCCCAGAGAGUCAGUGAAUCUCUGAGUCUCGCUUGAUUUUCUGUAAAGUGGGCUCAACAAUAAGGGGGAUAAAACAUGUUGGAGCGUGACCGCAGCUAAGCUGGCGGCUGGUACUUCUCUCCUUCACCCCCGGCAGCUCCACGAACUAGUAACUGGCUUCUUCCUAUUUUGUAGAUGGAGAAGCUGCAAUACAGAGGCAUUAACUGUCGAGGUCAGGAGCUAGGGCAAAGGCCGAGCAGGACUUAAACCCAGGCUGCACAGCCCUGGAGUCCACGCUCUUAACCCCAAUCCACGGUCGUCGGAGGGGAAUGAGUGAGAAAACGUGUCCAAAGCACCCGGUGCCUCGUCUGGCCUGGAGUAGCACUGCACACCCCGAAGCCCUCUGCAUCGGCCACCUUCUGGAUGUGUCCCUCGCCCUCAGCUCAGUACAGGUCUCCAUGGAGCUGCAGCAGGGCCUCCCCAUUGCCUGCCUCCCCGCCCCCGCCCCCCCCACUGUGUGUUUGUGACCAUCCCAGGUAACUCGUCCCAGUGGCAUCUAGUGUCUGCACUUCACCUCCCCGGGGCUCAGUGCACACCGGUGGCAUGCUUGAUGCUCAGGAGCACGGGCCCGGGGGUGAGGACUCUGUAAGCCCUGGAUGAGGGUUCAAUGCCAUGCAGCAAGGACGCCGGGGUCCCAGUUCCAGGCGUAUGCUCCAGGACAGGGAGGGUGCAGGCUCGAGGUGGCCAUGUGGUGAGGCUCAGGGAAGGGCCCUCUGAAGCACAGGGCCCAGGGGAGGGGCCCCAGCCGCCCAGGUCUGAGCACUGUAUUGUGCCAGAAACUCCAUUUCUUCUGGGCUUCACAAGGAGAGAGAGGGCUUCAAGUGUCAUCCCCACUCCAUUUCUUCCCAGUGCUCCAGAACCUUCCCCCAUAUUUGGUGGCAAAGCAGAUCCUGCCUUCAGCUGACUAGUGGAAGGGGAAGUGUCGGUCUCUCCCUGUGGUCACACGCUGAACCCGAUGCCCAGGUAACAGGUGCUCCAGCUGGUCCCCCCACAGGCCAGCCCACUCCUCAGACUACAGCAGCUACGGCCAUUUACUGAGCACCUACUAUGCGCCGGGCUCGGUGCUAAGCCUUCACCUGCAACACCUCUGCACAAGGAAGGGUGUAACUACUGUUCCCAUUUCACAGAUGAGGUGACAGUGCUCGCCAGAUGCUGCAAAAGAGCUGACGCAUGGGGUGUCUCUUCCGGGGACCAUGAUUCAAUAGCCUGUCUUCCCCCAAACGGUUUUAUUAUUAAAAAAAAUACUUAGCAUAUUCCACUUAGAAUAGUAGAUAUUUCAUAUCUUUUGCUUAUUACAAUGCACCGUGCUAAGCAUCCAUUAUUUAGCUGUGCGCUGGGUGUAAUCAUUCUUCAGGUACUAGUGUGCCAGCAAUAAUUUACGUCCUGUGCAAGGAGUCAGGAUGUAUCCUCUACCUGCACAAGGAGCUGACAGUGGGGCACAGCAUAAUUGUUCCAAAAAGCCGCACUUGAUAGCUAAUGAAUGAGCGUAGAGGAUUAGAGAUGGGGAGAUCCACCGGCGUUUGUGAAAGGUAAAUCAACAAUUAGAAGAAGAAUACGUUCUGUUGGCUGUCAGGGAAGAUUUCUGCAAGGAAAACGGAAAAGAUGAUUUAGACUCAAGGGUAAUACAAUGUCUGCUGCAGGUACGGGAGGAGUUCCACGCUCACAGAUGCAUUUGAAAAACUAUUUUUAAGAGAACUUAGAAGAAUUUCCUCCAGUGCCUUGAAGCUUUCCAAAAACUGUGGUGUGCUCGUCCAUGCAUUCCCGCAACAAGAGCCGGGCGCCCAGUGCGUGCAGCAUGGGAGGUCGUGCAUCCGUAGUGACCCCGUUCUCCUCUCUGAGACCAAGGGAAGCAGGCUCCAGGGAGGAUGUUUUCUGGGUGCUCUUGCCUGAGAAGCAGAUGGUAACGAUAAUCACCAUCACUGCUCUGACUGACCAUGGGGCAUCUUCCGGGAUGCUGCAUGUUACCUGUGAUCUGCACAAUGGCACGUGGACAUGGGUGCUGCUGUCUUUAUUUUACCCAGGAGGAUGCUGGGGCUCCGGAGUUUAAGUACCUGGCCAGAGUCACAAGGCCAGAGCAAGGGGCAGCAGGCUGCCUGACCCCACCUCUGGGUCCUCCCUCUAUCCUGCCCCGUGGGUGUUCUGACUCUGUGCUGAGGACAGCAGGGCUCUGCGGGGGCGUUUUCGGGGUUCUGCAAACACUGAAAAUUUUCCUGCCAUGGAAAGAAACAGUUAAACUGCCUGAGCAUUUAAAGUACUUUGAUUUUUCUGUAUUCUAUUUCUGUGGAUCAACUUUCCCUGUUCACACACGCGUGCGCACGCACACACACACAUGCAUGCACACCUGUCAUCGGUGUGCGUGCAUGUGCGUAUACGCACGGUGCAGUGGAGUGUGUGUUUCCGUGUGUGCAAAGCUCGCCGUCCUGCUGUCUGUGCCCGGGUCCCCGCUCAGCUGGCCCCUGCCGGGCAGCGAACCCGCUGGCCUGCCCCCUAGUGCCAAUGGCUGCAGCAGCCUGGGCUCCUCCUGAUUUCACUUCUCAGUUUCCCCGAGUUCCAUCCAAAGGCCCGGGGGAGGCCCGAGACGUUCAGACUUUGAUCACGAUAGCCUGUUUCUUUAAAUAAGUGACCUCUUUCCCCACAUCCUCUGGUGGGGACAAAGCAUUUUUCAGACAAGUGAAGCACUUGGGGUGGUUUACAAAUUUUAACUUUAUUCAUGAAAAAGCUCUCUACAAUCAAAUGGGACACUGACUGGCCUUCUUGGGCAGAGGCUAGUGACCUCCGUUGUGCUUUUUCUUUGU